This 211-nucleotide ribosomal RNA is filed under the name uncultured bacterium. RNAcentral's name for it is "partial 16S ribosomal RNA". It matches the Rfam family "Bacterial small subunit ribosomal RNA", at positions 524 to 728 of the family's 1533-position model. The record is from RNAcentral.
UACGUAGGGUGCAAGCGUUAAUCGGAAUUACUGGGCGUAAAGCGUGCGCAGGCGGUUUUGUAAGUCUGUCGUGAAAAUCCCCGGGGCUCAACCCUGGGAAUUGCGAUGGAGACUGCAAGGCUAGAAUCUGGCAGAGGGGGGUAGAAUUCCACGUGUGAGCAGUGGAAAUGACGUAGAGAUGUGGAGGAACACCGAUGGCGAAGGCAGCCCC